This is a long non-coding RNA of Python bivittatus (Burmese python), 699 nucleotides long. RefSeq lists it as uncharacterized. NCBI's taxonomy places the organism in Eukaryota, Metazoa, Chordata, Lepidosauria, Squamata, Pythonidae. The record is from RefSeq and is a predicted model, not a curated record.
AAUUGUAAGAACCUUCUGAAGGUCUCUAUGGUCUGCUUCGAAGCUAACUAGAAGAUUGUGUUAUCCAGUUCAAAUUUCUAACCAAGAACUUAUCCCAGGAAGAACUUCCUGGAAGGGCUGAUUCAGGAGGAGGGGGCGAUGCUGCACAUACUUAUACAGGACUUUAUAGAUUUCCAAAUUGUUUUCAAAGGCAACUCUAUAUCCAGAGUAUUGCAGUAAUCUAAUCACAAAGUGAUGAAGGCAUGAGUCAAAAGUGCAAGGGCUUUGUAAUAGAGCAUCGGCCAAAAGACCUCAUGGUCAUGGACUUCCGCUGCCAAUACAGUAGUAGCCUUGAGUCCUGGAAGGCCUCCAAGUUGUGGAUUUGCUCCCUCAGGAGCAGUGCCACCCCAUCAAGAGACAACAGUGAAGAUGACCAACAAGGGUAACUCCAUCUUGCUUCUGUCCAAUUUCAACCUUUAUCCCAUCCAGAGCAUUACAGCCUCCAGAGAAGACUUCCACAGCAUUACAGCUGCUUCCUCUACUUGAUCCCUUCACUUCAACACUUCCCUCCUUGGAACUCAAAAUGGCUCAGGAACCUUUGAAACCACAGUCCUGAUAACACAUCUCUUCCAAGCAUUGUCCAGUUAACAAACAUCUGUGCUGGUUCUUUUCAAGCACAGAUAGUGUUUCUGUAAAGACAAUAAAACUUUGCUUUGUCAA